This 256-nucleotide ribosomal RNA is filed under the name uncultured bacterium. RNAcentral describes it as "partial 16S ribosomal RNA". It matches the Rfam family "Bacterial small subunit ribosomal RNA", at positions 524 to 776 of the family's 1533-position model. The record is from RNAcentral.
UACGAAGGUCCCGAGCGUUGUUCGGAAUCACUGGGCGUAAAGGGAGCGUAGGCGGCAUGGUAAGUCAGAUGUGAAAUCCCGGGGCUCAACCCCGGAACUGCAUCCGAUACUGCCUUGCUUGAGGGUUGGAGAGGUGACUGGAAUUCUCGGUGUAGCAGUGAAAUGCGUGGAUAUCGAGAGGAACACUCGUGGCGAAGGCGAGUCACUGGACAACAUCUGACGCUGGAGGCUACGAAGGCCUAGGGGAGCAAAAGGG